This 292-nucleotide ribosomal RNA is filed under the name uncultured Planctomycetota bacterium. Its description in RNAcentral is "uncultured planctomycete partial 16S ribosomal RNA". The record is from RNAcentral. Lineage: Bacteria; Pseudomonadati; Planctomycetota.
GGACUACAAGGGUUUCUAAUCCCGUUUGCUCCCCUGGCUUUCGCGCCUCAGCGUCAGAAGAGGUCCAGCACGUCGCUUUCGCCACCGGCGUUCCUUCCGAUAUCAACGCAUUUCACCGCUCCACCGGAAGUUCCACAUGCCCCUACCUCCCUCGAGAACAGCAGUAUCCAAGGCUAUUGUCCGGUUAAGCCGAACGAUUUCACCCCAGACUUGCUGCUCCGCCUACGCGCCCUUUAAGCCCAGUGAUUCCGAACAACGUUCGCACGGUUCGUCUUACCGCGGCUGCUGGCAC